GACACAUAUCUACGACUCUCGUGAUCUCACAGAUACAUGUGCUGGGGAGAUGUGCUGAAUACGCAGCUGUGGUUUACCUUUAAAUGGAGAGAUACUUCUGUCUCCUCCUCUCCAUCCCCCAUUGUUCUCCAUUCCUAUUUUGGAAGCAAAGUAGGGGAAAGGUUUGGGGACCUCAAGGUUUAGUAUAUAAGCUUUUAUUUUACCUUUGUAUGUCCACAUGGUGCCUUGUGCCCCUCAAUC
Molecule: long non-coding RNA, 240 nt
Filed under: Pan troglodytes (chimpanzee)
Lineage: Eukaryota; Metazoa; Chordata; Mammalia; Primates; Hominidae
Description: long non-coding RNA NONPTRT012508
Source: RNAcentral